GAUGAACGCUAGCUACAGGCUUAACACAUGCAAGUCGAGGGGAAACGACAUCGAAAGCUUGCUUUUGAUGGGCGUCGACCGGCGCACGGGCGAGUAACGCGUAUCCAACCUGCCCAUCACUUGGGAAUAACCUUGCGAAAGUAAGACUAAUACCCAAUGACAUCCCACGAAGACAUCUGAAUGGGAGUAAUGAUUUAUCUGUGAUGGAUGGGGAUGCGUCUGAUUAGCUUGUUGGCGGGGUAACGGCCCACCAAGGCAACGAUCAGUAGGGGUUCUGAGAGGAAGGUCCACCACAUUGGAACUGAGACACGGCCCAAACUCCUACGGGAGGCAGCAGUGUGGAAUAUUAGUCGCUGGGCGAGAACCUGAACCAGCCAAGUAGCGUGCAAGCUGCCGGCCCUAUGGAUUGUAAUCUGCUUUUAUAAGGGAAUAAAGUGGGUCUCGUGAGACUUUUUGCAUGUACCUUAUGAAUAAGGACCGGCUAAUUCCGUG
RNAcentral lists this ribosomal RNA (492 nucleotides) under uncultured bacterium. RNAcentral's name for it is "partial 16S ribosomal RNA". It matches the Rfam family "Bacterial small subunit ribosomal RNA", at positions 28 to 507 of the family's 1533-position model. The record is from RNAcentral.